CCUACGGGGGGCAGCAGUGGGGAAUAUUGCACAAUGGGGGGAACCCUGAUGCAGCAACGCCGCGUGGGUGAAGAAGUACUCCGGUAUGUAAAGCCCUGUCAGCAGGGAAGAAAAUGACGGUACCUGACCAAGAAGCCGCGGCUAAAUACGUGCCAGCAGCCGCGGUAAUACGUAGGGGGCAAGCGUUAUCCGGAUUUACUGGGUGUAAAGGGAGCGUAGACGGCAAGGCAAGUCUGGAGUGAAAGGCCGGGGCCCAAACACGGGACUGCUUUGGAAACUGUGUUGCUGGAGUGCAGGAGGGGUAAGCGGAAUUCCUAGUGUAGCGGUGAAAUGCGUAGAUAUUAGGAGGAACACCGGUGGCGAAGGCGGCUUACUGGACUGUAACUGACGUUGAGGCUCGAAGGCGUGGGGAGCAAACAGGAUUAGAUACCCCUGUAGUC
RNAcentral lists this ribosomal RNA (440 nucleotides) under uncultured bacterium. RNAcentral's name for it is "partial 16S ribosomal RNA". It matches the Rfam family "Bacterial small subunit ribosomal RNA", at positions 338 to 795 of the family's 1533-position model. The record is from RNAcentral.